This 651-nucleotide ribosomal RNA is filed under the name Hepatozoon canis. RNAcentral's name for it is "SSU rRNA". It matches the Rfam family "Eukaryotic small subunit ribosomal RNA", at positions 171 to 810 of the family's 1831-position model. The record is from RNAcentral. Lineage: Eukaryota; Apicomplexa; Hepatozoidae.
AUGAGCAAAAUCUCAACUUUAUUAGAAGAGACGCAUUUAUUAGAUAAAAAGCCAAUGCAUGCUUUUACAGUAUGAAAAUUGGUGAUUUAUAAUAACUUAGCAAAUCGCAUAGUGAAAACAGGCGAUAAAUCAUUCAAGUUUCUGACCUAUCAGCUUUCGACGGUAUGGUAUUGGCUUACCGUGGCAGUGACGGUUAACGGGGGAUUAGGGUUCGAUUCCGGAGAGGGAGCCUGAGAAACGGCUACCACAUCUAAGGAAGGCAGCAGGCGCGCAAAUUACCCAAUUCUAACAGUUUGAGAGAGGUAGUAACAAGAAAUAACAAUACAAGGCAGUUAAAAUGCUUUGUAAUUGGAAUGAUAGAAAUUUAAACCCUUUUUAAAGUAUCAAUUGGAGGGCAAGUCUGGUGCCAGCAGCCGCGGUAAUUCCAGCUCCAAUAGCGUAUAUUAAAAUUGUUGCAGUUAAAAAGCUCGUACUUGAAGUUCUGCUAAAAGUAACCGGUCUGCUUUGAAUAAAAGUGGUAUCUUGGUAUGUAUUUAGCAAUGAUGUCCUUUGAAGUGUUUUUUACUUUAUUGUAAUAAAGCAUAUUCAGGACUUUUACUUUGAGAAAAUUAGAGUGUUUCUAGCAGGCCAACGCUUUGAAUACUGCAGCAU